UUACUGUGGCACUCAGCCAAGAGACUUAAUUUCCUUCAGCAAUGCAACAUAUUUACAAGUGACAGAGCGAAAUGAAACACUUUUCAACAGCAGUUCUGAAGCUCACUGCUCUUCAGAUGUAGUCAUGCUGACGGUGGUGUUCAGUGCUGUGAUUGUGAUUCUCAUCGGUAUUCUUCUAGUCUUGCUGAAGAGG
Molecule: non-coding RNA, 193 nt
Organism: Electrophorus electricus (electric eel)
Lineage: Eukaryota; Metazoa; Chordata; Actinopteri; Gymnotiformes; Gymnotidae
Source: RefSeq, a predicted model, not a curated record